GUUUGAUCCUGGCUCAGGACGAACGCUGGCGGCGUGCCUAAUACAUGCAAGUCGAGCGAGCCGAACUAAUUGAUUACCUUCGGGUAUGAAGUUAGGGAAGCGAGCGGCGGAUGGGUGAGUAACACGUGGGUAACCUACCCUAUAGUCCGGGAUACCACUUGGAAACAGGUGCUAAUACCGGAUAAAAGGAGAGAUCACAUGAUUUCUUUUUGAAAGGCGGCGUAAGCUGUCGCUAAAGGAUGGACCCGCGGUGCAUUAGCUAGUUGGUAAGGUAACGGCUUACCAAGGCAACGAUGCAUAGCCGAGUUGAGAGACUGAUCGGCCACAUUGGGACUGAGACACGGCCCAAACUCCUUACGGGAGAGGGCAGCAGUUAGGGAUCUCCAACAUGACGCAAGUCUGAUGGAGCAACGCCGGCGUGAGUGAAGAAGGUUUUCGGAUCGUAAAGCUCUGUUGUUGGUGAAGAAAGAUAGUGAGAGUAACUGCUCAUUAUUUGCCGGUAAUCAACCAGAAAGUCACGGCUAACUACGUGCCAGCAGCCGCGGUAAUACGUAGGUGGCAAGCGUUGUCCGGAUUUAUUGGGCGUAAAGCGAGCGCAGGCGGAAAGAUAAGUCAGAUGUGAAAGCCCUCGGCUUAACCGAGGAAUAGCAUCGGAAACUGUCUUUCUUGAGUGCAGAAGAGGAGAGUGGAACUCCAUGUGUAGCGGUGGAAUGCGUAGAUAUAUGGAAGAACACCAGUGGCGAAGGCGGCUCUCUGGUCUGUAACUGACGCUGAGGCUCGAAAGCAUGGGUAGCGAACAGGAUUAGAUACCCUGGUAGUCCAUGCUGUAAACGAUGAGUGCUAAGUGUUGGGAGGUUUCCGCCUCCCAGUGCUGCAGCUAACGCAUUAAGCACUCCGCCUGGGGAGUACGACCGCAAGGUCAAAACUCAAAGGAAUUGACGGGGGCCCGCACAAGCGGUGGAGCAUGGUGGUUUAAUUCGAAGCAACGCGAAGAACCUUACCAGGUCUUGACAUCUAGUGCCAACCUAAGAGAUUAGGCGUUCCCUUCGGGGACACUAAGACAGGUGGUGCAUGGCUGUCGUCAGCUCGUGUCGUGAGAAUGUUGGGUUAAGUCCCGCACGAGCGCAACCCUUAUUAUUAGUUGCCAGCAUUAAGUUGGGCACCUCUAAUGAGACUGCCGGUGACAAACCGAGAAGUGGAUGACGUCAAGUCAUCAUGCCCCUUAUGACCUGGGCUACACACGUGCUACAAUGGGCAGUACAACGAGGAGCGAACUUGUGAAGGCAAGCGAAUCUCCGAAAGCUGUUCUCAGUUCGGACUGUAGGCUGCAACUCGCCUACACGAAGCUGGAAUCGCUAGUAAUCGCGGAUCAGCACGCCGCGGUGAAUACGUUC
Molecule: ribosomal RNA, 1394 nt
Filed under: uncultured Lactobacillus sp.
Lineage: Bacteria; Bacillati; Bacillota; Bacilli; Lactobacillales; Lactobacillaceae
Description: bacterial SSU rRNA
Rfam family: Bacterial small subunit ribosomal RNA
Source: RNAcentral